CCGGGAAACGGGUGCUAAUACCGCAUAGUUUUCUUGAUCGCAUGAGUCGGGAAAGGAAAGACCGGCCUUUUGUGCUGUCGCUUAUGGAUGGACCCGCGGCGUAUUAGUUAGUUGGUGAGGUAACGGCUCACCAAGACGAUGAUACGUAGCCGACCUGAGAGGGUGAUCGGCCACAUUGGGACUGAGACACCGGACCCAAACUCCUACGGGAGGCAGCAGGUAGGGAAUCUUCCGCAAUGGACGAAGUCUGACGGAGCAACGCCGCGUGAGUGAAGAAGGUUUUCGGGAAUCGUAAAACUCUGUUGUCAGAGAAGAACAAGUUGGAGAGUAACUGCUCCAGCCUUGACGGUAUCUGACCAGAAAGCCACGGCUAGCUACGUGCCAGCAGCAGC
This 392-nucleotide ribosomal RNA is filed under the name uncultured bacterium. RNAcentral describes it as "bacterial SSU rRNA". It matches the Rfam family "Bacterial small subunit ribosomal RNA", at positions 149 to 518 of the family's 1533-position model. The record is from RNAcentral.